This 503-nucleotide ribosomal RNA is filed under the name uncultured Acidobacteriota bacterium. RNAcentral's name for it is "bacterial SSU rRNA". It matches the Rfam family "Bacterial small subunit ribosomal RNA", at positions 38 to 573 of the family's 1533-position model. Lineage: Bacteria; Pseudomonadati; Acidobacteriota. The record is from RNAcentral.
GGCGGCGUGCCUAACACAUGCAAGUCGCACGAGAAAGGGACUUCGGUCCUGAGUAAAGUGGCGCACGGGUGAGUAACACGUGACUAAUCUACCCUCGAGUGGGGAAUAACCUAGGGAAACCUGGGCUAAUACCGCAUAACACUUACGAGUCAAAGCAGCAAUGCGCUUGGGGAGGAGGUCGCGGCAGAUUAGCUAGUUGGUGGGGUAAUGGCCCACCAAGGCGAUGAUCUGUAUCCGGCCUGAGAGGGCGCACGGACACACUGGAACUGAAACACGGUCCAGACUCCUACGGGAGGCAGCAGUGGGGAAUUUUGCGCAAUGGGGGAAACCCUGACGCAGCAACGCCGCGUGGAGGAUGAAGUCUCUUGGGACGUAAACUCCUUUCGACAGGGACGAUAAUGACGGUACCUGUAGAAGAAGCCCCGGCUAACUUCGUGCCAGCAGCCGCGGUAAUACGAAGGGGGCAAGCGUUGUUCGGAAUUAUUGGGCGUAAAGGGCGCGUA